Molecule: ribosomal RNA, 497 nt
Filed under: uncultured bacterium
Lineage: Bacteria
Description: partial 16S ribosomal RNA
Rfam family: Bacterial small subunit ribosomal RNA
Source: RNAcentral
GAUGAACGCUGGCGGCGUGCCUAAUACAUGCAAGUCGAGCGAACAGACGAGGAGCUUGCUCCUCUGACGUUAGCGGCGGACGGGUGAGUAACACGUGGAUAACCUACCUAUAAGACUGGGAUAACUUCGGGAAACCGGAGCUAAUACCGGAUAAUAUAUUGAACCGCAUGGUUCAAUAGUGAAAGACGGUUUUGCUGUCACUUAUAGAUGGAUCCGCGCCGCAUUAGCUAGUUGGUAAGGUAACGGCUUACCAAGGCAACGAUGCGUAGCCGACCUGUGAGGGUGGUCGGCCACACGGGAAGUGAGACGCGGUCCAGACUACUGCGGGAGGCAGCAGUAGGGAAUCUUCCGCAAUGGGCGAAGGCCUGACGGAGCAACGCCGCGUGAGUGAUGAAGGUCUUCGGAUCGUAAAACUCUGUUAUUAGGGAAGAACAAAUGUGUAAGUAACUAUGCACGUCUUGACGGUACCUAAUCAGAAAGCCACGGCUAACUACGUG